Long non-coding RNA from Tribolium castaneum (red flour beetle), 2130 nucleotides. RefSeq lists it as uncharacterized. NCBI's taxonomy places the organism in Eukaryota, Metazoa, Arthropoda, Insecta, Coleoptera, Tenebrionidae. The record is from RefSeq and is a predicted model, not a curated record. The transcript is spliced from 3 exons.
UUGCCUAUGAAAAUCUGUCAAAACUUGCUAAAUUUUUGAAGUAAACUUCGUUCUGAAUCACAGGGACGCCAGAAGGUCUUUAAUUUUAAAGACCUUUUUAUGUUUCUUUUUUUAGGCUUGGUGGGGUCGUUCUCGAAGUGCGACUCCAGGGCCAUUAUUUACUUGUGAAUUUUGUCCUGAUUUCUGUCAUCAUUGAAGAGUUUGCUCUUAUUGCAUAUUAUGCUACUGAAGAAAUAAAAUCCGACUUUGAAUUUAUGUUGGGGCACAUUUUGCCGAACGUUUGGUUACUUCCUUUGUUGCUGUUGCUGAAUUUUCGCAUGGGCUUUAAUUACCAUACCAGAGGAAGAAUUUGUUAACGACCCAGAAUGGUUGUAUGGUACUGAAUGGUACUGGUGAUUAGGAUUUAUACAGUCACUAAAAUGGAUGGUUACACUAUGACAAAUAAAUUCAAAGCUUUCCUCAAACCGUCGAACUUGUGAGGUUCCGAGGACUCAGUUUUGCGGUACACUUGAUUGCAGGGGAAUAGUAAGGCAAAACAAGACGAGAGAGUACUGGAGGAUACAGGGGAACGCGAAAAAAGCAAUUUAGAAUCGAACGAGUAAUCGAUACAGAGUAUGUGGAGCCUUACUAUUUUAAAAUGAGUAAAAUCUAACGCAAAAUGGAAUUAAGCCUCCAAGACUGGUUAUAACAGCGAAUAUACGAAAUACGAACAAUAAUAACGGUUUUAAGAGGAGCUUUAAUCCGUUGUCGAGAACGAAAUUUAUGAUUGUUCUAGUUCGGAAGAGAAGCCCUUGCGAAGGGGGCGUAUGUUAAGCCGUGAGUUUUUUUUAAUUAAGUACAGUUGCGCCAAUUGAAAACAAAAUGGCUUUUUUUUCAUUUUAUUUGAUAUUUUUAAAUCUCUCAAAGCAUAUUAAAGAUUUACAGUUGGUAAAUUGUUAAGGAGAACGCGUCUGUAAUGCAGUACGAGCAAGAAUAAUUGCAACAUUGCUACAAAUUUUACUUUUAAAAUUGUUAUGCUUGUCUCAAUUUUUAUGUUCUAAAAACAAUACUAAGUUUGCUUAACACUGUCAACAAAGCGAAAAGUUUAAAUAAAACGUGUAUAUUUUAUUAAAAAAAUACCAUUGUAAUUAGUACCUACUUAUUUAAGCACAAAAGAUGAGUCCGCCAUUGGUAACUCCAUUUAAAAGAAUCGAGAAAUUAAAAGCAAAUCGCAUAAGAAAGGCGUAAAAACUUAUGGUAUCGCCGGUGCGCUGUAGGUACUAUGUGCAGAUUAGUUUGUUAUUAGUUUAGUUUUGAUUUGUGUAUCAGUAGGUCAUUGUAUGACUUAUGAAAAAUUAAACAAAUUUUGAAAUGAGAUCAAUGUGGUCUUGUGUUACGGAAGUGCUGAUGGUCUUGCUUUAAGGGUUCACACAUUUGUGGAAGAAGUUUGUUAAUAAGUAUCCGGCAGUUAGCUAUAAUUCAGCACAGGCGCGUAUUACUAAUUAACUUAAUUCGAAUUAGUUUAAUUCUGAAUUAAAUCUAAAUUUCGCUUUCUGUAAACCGACCCUAAUUUUAAUUGCAAUUAACAUGUUCUGUAAACUGGUUCUAAAUGUACGAUUUAAUUUAGAACUGGAUUUUUUUAUAUUUGUACCUACAAAUACAAGGUGACACAAAAGAUGCUUUGUGAAUAUUAAAAAGUAAUGCUAAAAGGUUUUACCCACGGUUUUUGAACGAGUUAACGCUAGAUAAUGUUUAUCGAUUCUAUAAUUUUUACAUAAACACAAAUCCUUUUAAGUUUUUGCAAAAAUAUUUCCUUUAGCGCUAAAGCUAAAAGCAGUAAAAAAUGCAAAAUUUUAAAAUAAUAUUUUGCACCAGGAUUACAGGAGUGCGAUGUAAUAAAAACGUUUAUACAAUAACAAUAUAGAUUUGUUUAAGAAAAUUACGAGGUUUACAAAUUUUACACAAUUUUAAGUAUUUGCAAUAAUUUCCAGAAAUUUGUAGAAUACUGUAACUUUCUGUUUUACAAUGACAUGUCACGGUAAAGAUUAAAGGUUUCUGUAAAAUUGCAGUUUUAAUGUCGAUAUCCGUUGUUAGUGGCAUCUAGGUUUGAGGUACCAAAGUACAAUUUUACAGAUUUCUAUAAAAGAAGGU